GCAAGUCGAGGGGCAGCACGAGAAGUAGCAAUACCUUUUGGUGGCGACCGGCGCACGGGUGAGUAACACGUAUGCAACCUACCUGUAAGAGGGGAAUAACCCGGAGAAAGCCGGACUAAUACCGCAUCAUACUAUAAAACCACAUGGUUAUUUAGUUAAACAUUUAUGGCUUACAGAUGGGCAUGCGUAUGAUUAGCUAGUUGGUAAGGUAACGGCUUACCAAGGCACCGAUCAUUAGGGGUUCUGAGAGGAAGGGC
This 257-nucleotide ribosomal RNA is filed under the name uncultured bacterium. RNAcentral describes it as "partial 16S ribosomal RNA". It matches the Rfam family "Bacterial small subunit ribosomal RNA", at positions 57 to 305 of the family's 1533-position model. The record is from RNAcentral.